AGAGUUUGAUCCUGGCUCAGGAUGAACGCUAGCUACAGGCUUAACACAUGCAAGUCGUGGGGCAGCAUUUACCUUUCGGGGUAAGAUGGCGACCGGCGCACGGGUGAGUAACGCGUAUCCGACCUGCCCCCCACCCCGGCACAGGCUUCCGAAAGGGAGGUUAAUGCCGGAUGCCGCCGCGGCGCUGCAUGGCGCUGUGGCGAAAGGUCCGCCGGUGGGGGAUGGGGAUGCGUCCCAUUAGGCAGCCGGCGGGGUAACGGCCCACCGGGCCCACGAUGGGUAGGGGUUCUGAGAGGAAGGUCCCCCACAUUGGAACUGAGACACGGUCCAAACUCCUACGGGAGGCAGCAGUGAGGAAUAUUGGUCAAUGGCCGCAAGGCUGAACCAGCCAAGUAGCGUGAAGGACGGCGGCCCUACGGGUUGUAAACUUCUUUUACGGUGGAUUAAUCGUCCCCACGUGUGGGGAUUUGCAGUUACGCCGUGAAUAAGCAUCGGCUAACUCCGUGCCAGCAGCCGCGGUAAUACGGAGGAUGCGAGCGUUAUCCGGAUUCAUUGGGUUUAAAGGGAGCGCAGACGGGAUUUCAAGUCAGUUGUAAAAUAUCGGUGCUCAACGCCGUUGUGCAAUUGAAACUGUUGUUCUUGAGUGCGGUGAGGGCAGGCGGAAUUCGUGGUGUAGCGGUGAAAUGCUUAGAUAUCACGAAGAACUCCGAUCGCGAAGGCAGCCUGCCGUGCCUGCACUGACGUUCAUGCUCGAAAGCGCGGGUAUCAAACAGGAUUAGAUACCCUGGUAGUCCGCGCCGUAAACGAUGGACACCCGCUGUCGGCGAUACAAUGUCGGCGGCCAAGCGAAAGCGUUAAGUGUCCCACCUGGGGAGUACGCCGGCAACGGUGAAACUCAAAGGAAUUGACGGGGGCCCGCACAAGCGGAGGAACAUGUGGUUUAAUUCGAUGAUACGCGAGGAACCUUACCCGGGCUUGAACCGGAGUCGACGUGGGGCGAAAGUCCCAUUCCCGCGAGGGCGGUUCCGGAGGUGCUGCAUGGUUGUCGUCAGCUCGUGCCGUGAGGUGUCGGCUCAAGUGCCAUAACGAGCGCAACCCCCCCCUCCAGUUGCCAUCGGUUCGGCCGGGCACUCUGGAGGCACUGCCGUCGUAAGAUGCGAGGAAGGCGGGGAUGACGUCAAAUCAGCACGGCCCUUACGUCCGGGGCUACGCACGUGUUACAAUGGGACAUACAGCGGGAAGCCACCCGGCGACGGGGCGCGGAUCCCGAAAGUGUCCCCCAGUUCGGACUGGAGCCUGCAACCCGGCUCCACGAAGCUGGAUUCGCUAGUAAUCGCGCAUCAGCCACGGCGCGGUGAAUACGUUCCCGGGCCUUGUACACACCGCCCGUCAAGCCAUGAAAGCCGGGGGUACCUGAAGUGCGUAACCGCGAGGGUCGCCCUAGGGUAAAACCGGUGAUUGGGGCUAAGUCGUAACAAGGUAACCGUA
Molecule: ribosomal RNA, 1488 nt
Filed under: uncultured bacterium
Lineage: Bacteria
Description: 16S ribosomal RNA
Rfam family: Bacterial small subunit ribosomal RNA
Source: RNAcentral